GGCGUCCAGAGCCCGCAGCGCGGCGGCCGGGACCGGGACCGGGACCCCGAGCGCGCGGCGGGCAGCGGCGAUGUAUAGGCGGGGAGCAGGCACUGGCCUCUCUCCCUGCCCCGCGGCCGGGCCGAUCCCCCCGUGCCGCCACUCUUGCCCGCGGACUGGCGGGGGCGGCAGGGCCACUCUCCUGGGGACUUGAGGGGGGCCGAGGGGUCCAACUGGGGCCACUUGGGCGGCGAAAUCGGCCUUCCAGGCUAUUCAAUGCCGUGGGCCUGAGGGGAGACGCAGCCCGCCCCCCGUGCGAGCGCCCCUCGCCUCUCACUCGAGCUCCCCGAGGCCCCGGGGCGAGGUGCGGCACAGGCUGCCGGCGCCCGAAGCGGGACUGCAACAGCACUGAGCUCCCGAGUCCACAACUGCGAUCUCAGCCUCCCCCCACGUGCAUGAGGCAGCUGCUGCUUCCCUCCUGCCCUGGUGUCCUGCCUCUGUGCCCACCAAGAUGCGCUUUUGGGAGGUGGAAGAGGUGGAUCUGAACCUGCACCCCAAUCCCGCCGUGCUAUGGAGGAAACUGAAUCCACAUCUCCCACUUCCUGUGCAAUUGUUCUAUAUAAAGCCUCGGCCAUUUUCAAGGAUCUUAACUAAGCUGCAGAAAUGUGGCUAAGCAGAAGACCUCAAAGAUUGUUUCUGAGUGACCAUGGAGUGAACCUUUGAAGACACAACUCGCUUGAACAGCAAAGUAGCUUGUCUAACUAAACAUCAGCUUGUCUAACUAAACGAGAAAUGAGAUACAAUUAAACAGAGCACAAAUACAAAAUCAAAGCUUCAUGUUCUAGCAACUGAUGCAACUAAAUGUAUUAGAUGCUAUUUUGGUAUAAAUAGAUAGAUUUUUGUUAAGUUUCUUGAUAUAUUGUAAAAAAAUAAAGCAGCUUUGUUUACACAAGACCAUAAAUUUGGGAGAAAAGAAAAACAGAAUGAGGGGAACCAGUAUUUCAUAAUGGUGAAGGAAGGUGUGACAGCGAAAAUUAUGUCUGUGUGGUGGUGAAGGUGCUUACUGAACGCUUUGUGAGGAUUAGACCAGGUGUUUCUUGUUGUUUGUUUAUAUAUGGAGCUGCAUGUUGCUGCUAAGAGUUUAAUUGAAGUAAAAAACUAGUGAGGCUAUGUAUGUAGUGAGGUCUUGUAAGAUUAGUGAGGCCUUGAAAGUAGUAAGGCCUUGUAUGUAGUGGCACAGUUAAAAUUAACCUUAUCAGAAAAAUGCAAAGGCUUGUACUGCUAUUGGUCAGUCAUAAGGAAAGUUCAUAGUGUAAGAAUGUGAGUGGCUGCGAGUCAACAGUGUAGCUCAAAAGUUAUAAAUUGGCUAGCACAUCCAGAAAUUAGUGGAAGGGAGACGCAGCAUUGUAAGAGAAGCUACUAAUUUAGAAAUUAGCUGCUGACUUCGAUCCAGUGGGCUCAUGGAUCUCGAGGAGCCCAAGGACUGAAUACCAGGGUCCUUCCUGGUACCCCUCAAACAGCACAGAUCGGGGACACCUGACUUCACUGAGCUUUAUAGAAGAGGAACUUGUUGUACAUCAGGCAUCAGAAGGGACUGCCAAUAAGCUGCCGACACGAAUUGUUAUUGUCGGUCAUUAUUGUCUUGUUAUACUAUGCAUAGUUGUGUGUUUGUUAAGUUAAUAAACCUUUCUUACCUUUUU
This is a long non-coding RNA of Alligator mississippiensis (American alligator), 1679 nucleotides long. RefSeq lists it as uncharacterized. Lineage: Eukaryota; Metazoa; Chordata; Crocodylia; Alligatoridae. The transcript has 2 exons. The record is from RefSeq and is a predicted model, not a curated record.